This 686-nucleotide small RNA is filed under the name Pongo abelii (Sumatran orangutan). RNAcentral's name for it is "retained intron". Lineage: Eukaryota; Metazoa; Chordata; Mammalia; Primates; Hominidae. The record is from RNAcentral.
GCAGGACUUUCUGUCUGUCUCAAGAGUUGCUGAAGCUCAGCACAAGUUGGGGAUCACGGUGCCCCUUCCUGCCACUGCCCGCAGAGGCAGAACCCCUUUACCUAGAGGGCUCUUUGCAGUUGGCCCCGGGGCUCUGGUGGGUUUGACAUUAUUUCAUGGAUUUGAUGUUUUUGUUUUUGUUUUGAUGGGGGUUCAGUGCCUGAUGGCAAAACCCCAGAAGAUGAAAAUCCAACAGAGGAAGGAGCAGACAACUCUUCAGCAAAGAUGGAAGAGGAGGAGGAGGAAGAGGAAGAAGAAGAAGAGCGCCUCCCAGGAUGUACUCUGUUUAUUAAGAAUCUCAAUUUCGACACAACAGAAGAGAAGCUGAAGGAAGUGUUCUCAAAAGUGGGGACAGUGAAGAGCUGCUCUAUCUCCAAGAAGAAGAACAAAGCAGGAGCGCUGCUUUCCAUGGGGUUUGGAUUUGUGGAAUACAGAAAGCCGGAGCAAGCCCAGAAAGCUCUCAAGCAGCUCCAGGGUCACAUCGUGGACGGCCACAAGCUGGAAGUGAGGAUCUCGGAACGAGCCACUAAGCCAGCCGUGACAUCGGCUCGAAAGAAACAAGUUCCCAGAAAGCAGACCACCUCCAAGAUCCUGGUGCGGAACAUCCCCUUCCAGGCCCACAGCCGGGAGAUCCGAGAGCUCUUCAG